GAAAUAGCAGCAGCUUGUCUGG
RNAcentral lists this microRNA (22 nucleotides) under Haplochromis burtoni (Burton's mouthbrooder). RNAcentral's name for it is "abu-miR-10555". Lineage: Eukaryota; Metazoa; Chordata; Actinopteri; Cichliformes; Cichlidae. The record is from miRBase by way of RNAcentral.